GAUGAACGCUGGCGGCGUGCCUAAUACAUGCAAGUCGAGCGAACAGAUGAGGAGCUUGCUCCUCUGCCGUUAGCGGCGGACGGGUGAGUAACACGUGGAUAACCUACCUAUAAGACUGGGAUAACUUCGGGAAACCGGAGAUAAUACCGGAUAAUAUAUUGAACCGCAUGGAUCAAUAGUGAAAGACGGUUUUGCUGUCACUUAUAGAUGGUUCCGCGCCGCAUUAGCUAGUUGGUAAGGUAACGGCUUACCAAGGCAACGAUGCGUAGCCGACCUGAGAGGGUGAUCAGCCACACUGGAACUGAGACACGGUCCAGACUCCUACGGGAGGCAGCAGUAGGGAAUCUUCCGCAAUGGGCGAAAGCCUGACGGAGCAACGCCGCGUGAGUGAUGAAGGUCUUCGGAUCGUAAAACUCUGUUAUUAGGGAAGAACAAAUGUGUAAGUAACUAUGCACGUCUUGACGGUACCUAAUCAGAAAGCCACGGCUAACUACGUG
Molecule: ribosomal RNA, 497 nt
Filed under: uncultured bacterium
Lineage: Bacteria
Description: partial 16S ribosomal RNA
Rfam family: Bacterial small subunit ribosomal RNA
Source: RNAcentral